This 3592-nucleotide long non-coding RNA is filed under the name Arabidopsis thaliana (thale cress). RNAcentral's name for it is "long non-coding RNA (ATHA_LNC000317)". Lineage: Eukaryota; Viridiplantae; Streptophyta; Magnoliopsida; Brassicales; Brassicaceae. The record is from RNAcentral.
GACGGUUGGAUGCAGAAUCCCACAGCUGGACUUCAGAGUUGUUGAGUCCAACUGCAACAUGACGACCAUCAGGAGCCCAGUUGAUACUUGUGACAGGUCCCUUCUCCUCAUCAAUGGUCACAAGCUCAGAUGUAGAACCAGUGGAAGCAUCCCACAAGUAGACAGUGUGGUCCAACGCUAUGGCUAAGACAUUUGCACUUCCCCAGUCCAGCAAGUUGAGGUAGAAAUCGUCAACAAUGUCAGGUGCAUCCAAGGUUCUCUCAGAAGUCUGUUAAUCACAACAGAAAGUUUAGCAACAGAUCAAUACAACUCUAAUGCAGCAACCAGUAAGUGAGCUUUAAGGAUCAAACGCAAUAAAUACAGUACAUACCUGAGGAAUGUAUCGACGAGGCUUUACAGAUUUGGGUUGUUGGUGAAGAGAAGCAGAGUGAUUGCUCGGAAGCAGUUCGACAGGAGCCUGAGGUUUGUUUCUGAAGGCGAGAAUCCUUGUGUGGUUCAAGUUCAUGGUCUCAGCCAAUUGCUUCCUGUAGGCCUCUUUGGAUGGUGAACUUACCGUUGCAGAUUGAUCCUUACCUUUUCUUUCUUCAGUGAGGGCAAAGUGAGCAUAGUCAAAAUUCAUCGCUGAUCUAUUCGGUAUGAACCUGUCCAGCUGGUAGAAGAUAAAAGCAAAUCAGUACAAUUCAUUCGAUAUCACAAAUCCAAUUUAUGCAAGAAACAAUCAAUCAAUUGGAAAGACAUGAUUUUUCUUAUAACAAAACCAACAAUUCGUUCAUACAGUAUCUGAAUAAAGAUUCAUCAAUGAUAUGGGUCAAACAAUUUUGGAUUCAGAUGAACAAGUUGUUAAUCAAAACACUAAUUCUGUAUCAUAAACAUGGUAUUGAAUCUGAAAAAUUAAAGAGCACCCACACAAUUCGAAUCCUGAUUCUCAACAGAGUACGGAAACAGGUCAAAUCUGAAUGAUUGAAGAAGGAUACUUACAUUUUCCUUGGAAUUUUUUCUGGGAAGAAAGUGUUCUUGAAGUGGGCACCGAUUCAAACCUGCAUCCAUUAUCACUAAACACAAAGAAAAUCCCAAAAUACAAACAAACAGAAAACAAGAAUAGCGAUAGUAUACGAAACGGAUUAGAAGAUAUAAUGAGUAAACGAAAUUAGAUAAAGAUGAGCCUGCAGAGAAGGGAUCGUUAGUAAAUUCGAGCAGAGAGAUCAGAGCAGAGAGAGCGAAGAAUUGUUGGUGGCUGAUGAUUGAUGAGAGAUGAGAGAGCAGAUUGAUGAAGUGAGUGAAAAGGUACGAAAUUUUGGGUUGCUUAUAAAGGGGUAGAGCCAAUUUAGGGUUUUGGAGGACUCUAAUUUCUAUAAUCGGAAAGUCGGUAACGGCUAUAUUUCUGAGAGAGCCGUUGAUCAAUUACGGAAAAUGCCCUCUUUCCCUGAAACAAUUAGCUUUUUUAUGUCUCAUUUUAACAUUUGUCUAUUAGACAAAAACAGAGACAUGUAACAAAAAUAAAAAAACAUUAAAAUACUUAUAGAUAUUAUACAAAACAAAUAAAACACUGCUUACCACUCACUCAAAAAAGAUACUGAAAUAACUAUUGGUACAAAAAAGAGGUUAACACUCACAUAAAUACCACAAUUACCUUUAAUCUAGAAUUAUUACUGAAAAAAAACAAAUACAAUAGUGAAAAAGUUUCAUACGGUAAAUAGACCAUAAUAACAAUUUAUCAUCUACCUAAUACCAUCCAAAAUUAGUUUCAAAUUGUAUACGAGAACCAUCCAACGUAUUUCGAUGUAUGGUCCUUGUAAAUAAUAAUUUUUGUAUUAACCUCGAUAAUAUUUGGUUAGGUUAUUGUGUGAUUGAAUAUUUGCUUUAUGGUUAAAUAAUGGUUAUUGUGUGAUCGGUAUUUUUCACCUAUAAUAUUGUUUUAGUAUUAUUUUAAUCAUAUAAAAAAUUUAUAUCCAAAAAAAGCAUUUGUUAAUCAAUUCAUUAACCUGAAAACAUAACAAGUGGUUUAAAAACAUAAAACCAAAAUCUUCUAAAAUCCCUGAAAUUACAUAAGCUAGCGGAAAAAAUAAAAUCUUCCAAAAUCCCUAAUCGAACACAUGUUUCUACACACUAAUGUGAUUAGGUUAGUGUGGUUUCAAUGUCUAUUUUGAUGUAGUUACAAUUAUCAUCUUACAGUUUACAGUACUUAAUGCUCCUGCUUCUUGUAUCAUCUGACAUAUAUAAUCAAGAUCUUUCUUUCUAUUCAAAUGCAAGCAAAUAAGUUUGACUCAACAAUAUAUAUCAUUUACAUAUAUAUAAUUGUACAAUAUGCACUUUUCUUGUCACUACAAUUCAUGAAGAAUGAAUCAGAUGCAAAAAAAAUGAAUAUUUUGCAUCUGUAUCAUGGGUUUCCUUGUCCGUCAGUCUUCACAGCUUCAACGAAUACGAUUCACGUGAGAAAAUGGCUCGGAAACUGCUUUUGGAGCAGCUUUUUUGGCGGUCUCUGGUACUCCAAAAACAUUCCAGAACCUCAGAGUCUCAUCUCCUGCUGCUGAAGCUACGGUACAACCAUCUGGACUCUGUAAGAAAUACAACACAAACAACACAAGUUUUAGGACUAAAGACCUCAAACAUCUCCAACUACUUUCAACAGUUAAAAAUUGAUUUAGUUGUUUUCCUUUACCUGGGCCAUAUAUAGAACUCUUGAUGUAUGACCAGUGAGCUCAGCCAUUUUCACCAUGGAUGGAUACUUCCAAAGUGUGAGCUGAUUCUGUGUAAACCCGUGUGAGCUAAGCAACUCUCUUUCAUUCUUGCUCCAUAACAACGAACAAACUUGGGAACCAGUGUCUACUGAAUUCAAGCAAGCCCCAGUGUGAGUAUUCCAGAACUUGAUCGUCCUGUCUCCUCCACCACCACCAGUUGCAAGCAAAUUCGCUUGGAAAGGGCACCACGCAAGAGCCUUCACAGCAGAUGUAUGUUCCUCAAGCCUGUGCAGCCAUUGUGUGGUUGAGUUUGAGGAAGCGACAGAACGAUCCCAGAUGUGUACCACAUUGUCGUUGCCACCACUUGCUAGUUGUUGUCCAGAUCCUGACCACUUGAGCCCACAAACUUCUUGAGUGUGACCUCUGUAAGUUUCCACAAUGGGUGAUCUGAUCCUCACAUCAUUGUUGAUGAUCAGUCCAUCCAUUCCUCCAGUAGUAAGGAUGUGAUUGUUCCAUGCCAGUGAUCCUACUCGUGACUGGUGACCACCCUUCAAUGUUCUCAGCUGCAAGUAUAUGAUAAAACACAUGAGACUAAGAACACCGGAUAUUAUAUCUCAACAUAAAAGAGAGAGAGUAGUAAUUACUUGACGGUUGGAUGCAGAAUCCCACAGCUGGACUUCAGAGUUGUUGAGUCCAACUGCAACAUGACGACCAUCAGGAGCCCAGUUGAUACUUGUGACAGGUCCCUUCUCCUCAUCAAUGGUCACAAGCUCAGAUGUAGAACCAGUGGAAGCAUCCCACAAGUAGACAGUGUGGUCCAACGCUAUGGCUAAGACAUUUGCACUUCCCCAGUCCAGCAAGUUGAGGUAGAAAUCGUCAACAAUGUCAGGUGCAUCCAAGGUCCUCUCAGAAGU